Molecule: ribosomal RNA, 478 nt
Filed under: uncultured bacterium
Lineage: Bacteria
Description: bacterial SSU rRNA
Rfam family: Bacterial small subunit ribosomal RNA
Source: RNAcentral
GAUGAACGCUAGCUACAGGCUUAACACAUGCAAGUCGAGGGGCAGCAUGAACUUAGCUUGCUAAGUUUGAUGGCGACCGGCGCACGGGUGAGUAACACGUAUCCAACCUGCCGAUGACUCGGGGAUAGCCUUUCGAAAGAAAGAUUAAUACCCGAUGGCAUAGUUCUUCCGCAUGGUAGAACUAUUAAAGAAUUUCGGUCAUCGAUGGGGAUGCGUUCCAUUAGGUUGUUGGCGGGGUAACGGCCCACCAAGCCUUCGAUGGAUAGGGGUUCUGAGAGGAAGGUCCCCCACAUUGGAACUGAGACACGGUCCAAACUCCUACGGGAGGCAGCAGUGAGGAAUAUUGGGUCAAAUGGAACGAGAGUCUGAACCAGCCAAGUAGCGUGAAGGAAGAAGGAUCUAUGGUUUGUAAACUUCUUUUAUAGGGGAAUAAAGUGAGGACGUGUCCUUUUUGUAUGUACCUAUGAAUAAGCAUCGG